AGUCGUAACAAGGUCUCCGUAGGUGAACCUGCGAGAGGGAUCAUUACACAAAUAUGAAGGCGGGCUGGAACCUCUCGGGGUUACAGCCUUGCUGAAUUAUUCACCCUUGUCUUUUGCGUACUUCUUGUUUCCUUGGUGGGUUCGCCCACCACUAGGACAAACAUAAACCUUUUGUAAUUGCAAUCAGCGUCAGUAACAAAUUAAUAAUUACAACUUUCAACAACGGAUCUCUUGGUUCUGGCAUCGAUGAAGAACGCAGCGAAAUGCGAUAAGUAGUGUGAAUUGCAGAAUUCAGUGAAUCAUCGAAUCUUUGAACGCACAUUGCGCCCUUUGGUAUUCCAAAGGGCAUGCCUGUUCGAGCGUCAUUUGUACCCUCAAGCUUUGCUUGGUGUUGGGCGUCUUGUCUCUAGCUUUGCUGGAGACUCGCCUUAAAGUAAUUGGCAGCCGGCCUACUGGUUUCGGAGCGCAGCACAAGUCGCACUCUCUAUCAGCAAAGGUCUAGCAUCCAUUAAGCCUUUUUUUUCAACUUUUGACCUCGGAUCAGGUAGGGAUACCCGCUGAACUUAAGCAUAUCAAUAGUAAAAGUCG
Molecule: ribosomal RNA, 588 nt
Filed under: uncultured fungus
Lineage: Eukaryota; Fungi
Description: eukaryotic LSU rRNA
Rfam family: 5.8S ribosomal RNA (bases 212-365)
Source: RNAcentral